AGGUAAUUAGUCUAAAAAAAACAUUUGAUUUCGACUCAAAAGCAUGUGGUGUAAAAUCCACAAUUACCUA
Molecule: transfer RNA, 70 nt
Filed under: Gadopsis bispinosus
Lineage: Eukaryota; Metazoa; Chordata; Actinopteri; Centrarchiformes; Percichthyidae
Description: tRNA-Arg
Rfam family: tRNA
About the family: Transfer RNA (tRNA) molecules are approximately 80 nucleotides in length. Their secondary structure includes four short double-helical elements and three loops (D, anti-codon, and T loops). Further hydrogen bonds mediate the characteristic L-shaped molecular structure. tRNAs have two regions of fundamental functional importance: the anti-codon, which is responsible for specific mRNA codon recognition, and the 3' end, to which the tRNAs corresponding amino acid is attached (by aminoacyl-tRNA synthetases). tRNAs cope with the degeneracy of the genetic code in two manners: having more than one tRNA (with a specific anti-codon) for a particular amino acid; and 'wobble' base-pairing, i.e. permitting non-standard base-pairing at the 3rd anti-codon position.
Source: RNAcentral